GACGAACGCUGGCGGCGUGCUUAACACAUGCAAGUCGAACGGAAAGGCCCUGCUUUUGUGGGGUGCUCGAGUGGCGAACGGGUGAGUAACACGUGAGUAACCUGCCCUUGACUUUGGGAUAACUUCAGGAAACUGGGGCUAAUACCGGAUAGGAGCUGCUGUUGCAUGGUGGGGGUUGGAAAGUUUCGGCGGUUGGGGAUGGACUCGCGGCUUAUCAGCUUGUUGGUGGGGUAGUGGCUUACCAAGGCUUUGACGGGUAGCCGGCCUGAGAGGGUGACCGGCCACAUGAGGACUGAGAUACGGCGCAGACGCCAACGGGAGGCAGCAGUGGGGAAUAUUGCACAAUGGGCGGAAGCCUGAUGCGGCAACGCCGCGGGCGGGAUGACGGCCUUCGGGUUGUAAACCGCUUUCGCCUGUGACGAAGCGUGAGUGACGGUAAUGGGUAAAGAAGCACCGGCUAACUACGUG
Molecule: ribosomal RNA, 468 nt
Filed under: uncultured bacterium
Lineage: Bacteria
Description: partial 16S ribosomal RNA
Rfam family: Bacterial small subunit ribosomal RNA
Source: RNAcentral